CCUACGGGGGACGCAGUGAGGAAGAGUGGUCAAGGGACGAGAGUCGGAACCAGGCAAGGAGGGUGAAGGAGGACGGUCCUACGGGUUGUAAACUUCUUUUAUAUGGGAAUAAAACGUUCCACGUGUGGGAUGUUGUAUGUACCAUAUGAAUAAGGAUCGGCUAACUCCGUGCCAGCAGCCGCGGUAAUACGGGGGAUGCGAGCGUUAUCCGGAUUGAUUGGGGUUAAGGGGGGCGGAGGCGGGAUGCCAAGGCCGAGGUAAAAAUGCGGUGCGAAACGCCGUCGAGCCGUUGAAACUGGCGUUCUUGAGUGGGCGAGAAGUAUGCGGAAUGCGUGGUGUAGCGGUGAAAUGCAUAGAUAUCACGCAGAACUCCGAUUGCGAAGGCAGCAUACCGGCGCCCUACUGACGCUGAGGCACGAAAGCGUGGGUAUCGAACAGGAUUAGAUACCCCUGUAGUC
Molecule: ribosomal RNA, 458 nt
Filed under: uncultured bacterium
Lineage: Bacteria
Description: partial 16S ribosomal RNA
Rfam family: Bacterial small subunit ribosomal RNA
Source: RNAcentral